AUACGUAGGGGGCGAGCGUUGUCCCGAAUGACUGGGCGUAAAGCGCGUGUAGGCGGUUGAAUAAGGCAGGAGUGAAAGUCCCGGGUUCAAGCUGGGAACUGCGUUGGUUACUGUUCAACUUGAGUGCGGAAGGGGGAAGUGGAAUUCCCAGUGUAGCGGUGAAAUGCGUAGAGAUUGGGAGGAACACCAGUGGCGAAGGCGGCUUACUGGGUCGUAACUGACGCUGAGGCGCGAAAGCGUGGGGAGCGAACAGGAUUAGAUACCCUGGUAGUCCACGCGGUAAACGAUGAAUGCUAGGUGUUGCGGGUAUCGACCCCUGCAGUGCCGGAGUAAACACAAUAAGCAUUCCGCCUGGGGAGUACGGCCGCAAGGUUGAAACUCAAAGGAAUUGACGGGG
RNAcentral lists this ribosomal RNA (397 nucleotides) under uncultured bacterium. Its description in RNAcentral is "partial 16S ribosomal RNA". It matches the Rfam family "Bacterial small subunit ribosomal RNA", at positions 523 to 918 of the family's 1533-position model. The record is from RNAcentral.